GCAAGAUUAAAACUCAAAGGAAUAGACGGGGACCCGCACAAGUGGUGGAGCAUGUGGUUUAAUUCGAAGAUACGCGAAGAACCUUACUUAGCCUUGACAUAUAUUAGAACACCCUAGAGAUAGAGUGGUGCCUUCGGGAGCUUUUAUACAGGUGCUGCACGGCUGUCGUCAGCUCGUGUCGUGAGAUGUUGGGUUAAGUCCCGCAACGAGCGCAACCCUCGUCACUAGUUACUAACGGUUCGGCCGAGGACUCUAGUGAGACUGCCUUCGUAAGGAGGAGGAAGGUGAGGACGACGUCAAGUCAUCAUGGCCCUUACGGCUAGGGCAACACACGUGCUACAAUGGUUGGGACAAUGAGACGCAAUACCGCGAGGUGGAGCAAAUCUAUAAACCCAAUCUCAGUUCGGAUUGUUCUCUGCAACUCGAGAACAUGAAGCUGGAAUCACUAGUAAUCGUAGAUCAGCUAUGCUACGGUGAAUACGUUCCCGGGUCUUGUACUCACCGCCCGUCACACCAUGGGAGUUGAUUUCACCCGAAGCGGGGAAGCUAAACUGGCUACCCUCCACGGUGGAAUUAGCGACUGGGGUGAAGUCAUAACAAGGUA
Molecule: ribosomal RNA, 604 nt
Filed under: uncultured bacterium
Lineage: Bacteria
Description: bacterial SSU rRNA
Rfam family: Bacterial small subunit ribosomal RNA
Source: RNAcentral